Long non-coding RNA from Poeciliopsis prolifica (blackstripe livebearer), 2949 nucleotides. RefSeq lists it as uncharacterized. NCBI's taxonomy places the organism in Eukaryota, Metazoa, Chordata, Actinopteri, Cyprinodontiformes, Poeciliidae. The record is from RefSeq and is a predicted model, not a curated record. The transcript has 4 exons.
AGAGAGACGGAGCAGAGCCGAUGCUAAGCUAUGAAGAGAGAAACAAAAUUUUGAGAGAUUAAAACGUUUUUAUGUUUCCUGUCUGAAGAACGGUGUGUGAUCCCACAGCGUCGAGGCUGAGAACAAGAACGAGAAAAAUGAAACGUUUGGCGAAGUUUAGGCGGAGGUGGAAGUAGAUGGCUGGAGAUGUGAUGGUGAAACCCCUGGGCCGAGCUCCUUUGAGGGAGAAACGGGAGAUUAGACUGGAGAUGCUGACAUCUUUGCAGAUGAUUGAUUCACCCCGUCUGGCCGGAGUGGAGAGGAUGGAUCCUCCCUGGGGCGAAGGCUCCAGCGCUGUGUCACCUCACCAGAUACGGACCCUCCACUCCUCUAACCUCCCCCAACUCUCUGUAUUUGUCUUCUGCAAGCUGCUGCAAUCAGUGCAGGCCUUGAUUGGACUUGGGCAGGAAUACCAAUGGCUGCUUGUUUAUUAGAUUCUCCACACUCAUCUAAUCAACGUUUAUAGCGUCCCCUCCUCUGGAUUGUCUCUGCACCAUCAGCUGUAAACGGUGGAGCUUUUAAAAAAUGGAAAACUCUUCCUGGAAAAGUGACCAUCAAAGUUAUAGCAGCGUGUGAAUAAGAGCGCACAGUCUAAUAAAAACUGCUGAGCUGGGCACUUCAGUGCAAUCAGGCGCUGGUCGCAGCUCAUAUACUCGUUAGAUGAAAACCCAAGAUGGAGGGAGAGUGAUGGAGCUCUGCAGGCGGCCGCAGCAAUAACUCAGCUGGGUGUGAAUCACGGCGCGGAGGCCUGGAGGUGGAGAAUGAAUCAUUAGGGUGGGGGAGACGGAGACUCUGGGGAUUUGGAUCCAUCAGACGGCGUUGCUUUGGCCCACUCUGCCGCUCCAACACCAGUCUGUCUUCCACGUUUCUUCCCAAAGAUCUUCUCUCCUCCUGUCCGUCGCUCCUCAUCAAACCGCGAUCACAACAUGAAUCCAACCUGAAUGCACACUCUCUCCUCUUGCCUGAGGAUUCGUAUUCCCUCCAUCUUCCCCUCCAUUUCUGCUCCAGAGUCUAACAGGAGGUCAAACUCUUCCUCACUCGUUUCUACAUUAGGAAUAUUUUUAAAUGUCCGGAUGUCCCAGAAAGUGCAAAAACGCCGUUAACAAGCAGUUAAAAUAUUAAAUAUUUGUGUUAGAGUAUUAGGUCUCAUACUAAAAAAAUUACAAUAAUAAAGUGAUAAUAUUAUGAGAAUAUAGUCGAAAUAUUAGAAAAUAGUCAAAUUUUCAUGAGUGGGAUAGAAAACUAAAGAAACUGAUGUAAUAUUGCGGUAAACGGAUAAAAACUCCUUUGAGUUGAUUAAUAAAAUAAUAUUUAAGUAAACAACUGUUAUCUCAAAGUUUCUAUUUAUGUGACCCGCAUAAGAAGCUAUGGCGGGCCAGAUUUGGCCCCCGGGCCUCAAGUUUAACAGAUUUUAAUGGGAUGCAGAGAAAACUUAAUGAAAAAGAGAAGAUAGGAUGAAAAUAAAAAGUGAUCUGUUGACGUUAGUUGCUGUUUUAGCAGUAUGAAUGCUAAAAACACAACCUCAGCCCGCUUCCUAGAACAAAAAUCCAUUAUGAGGAGCUUUGGAGACUUUCGGCUCCCCAAGGCAUUGACUUUGGACAAGCAGAGGUUAGAAGAAAACAGCCUUAUCUCGCAACACACGGGUGUUUGUUAAGGCUCCCCAUUAAGUCUCCCCCUAAAAUUUGCAUAUUAAUUGCAUUUUGGCUCUACAUUCCCCCUCCCUUAAAGGCUGCUGUUUAUAGGUGCUUUAUUUCUUUGGGAAGACGCAGACGUCCGCGGGGUGCUCACCUGCAACGGAGAACAAGAAUUCAAUUCUGCUGGAAAUUGGUUUAACUUGAAAGUAAUCAAGUUUUCAACCUCACACACCUUGAUUGAAGGUCUUGGAGGACCAGCUUGCAGGUGGAUUUGCACGCUCGGUAUGCCGACUUUAAGACAUUAAUGCUCAAACAUCUGGAAGCAAAUGUAGUGAUUGAUGAUUUUUGCUAAUGAUUAGAUGACCUGUCAGAAUCAAACAAGUUUUAACAGCAAAAAUGGCCCAAAUAGGACUGAAACGAUUCAUCGAUUAAUCAGAUUGUCAACUAAUUUAGUAAAUAGGAAUAUAGACAUUCAAAACAAGACCAUUUGCUGAAAAACAACAUAUUUAGAGCAGUAAUCAAAUCUGUACAUAAAUAUGUACAUUUUGCAAUGUGAAUAUGUUUUAAAACUCUUGAGUGGCAGAGUGGUUCAAAUUCACUGAAGAAAUGUUAUGUUACUGCUUUAUAUUUCCUAUUUAAAAGGGAAUUGGAUUAUCUUUAUAUCCAUAUUUCUAAUAUUGUUUAAGUGGUUAAAUUAAAAAGCUGUAAAACGUAAUUCAUCUCUAUCUAAUUGUCGAAUUGGCAAAAUAAUCGAGUACUGCAAUAAUUGUGGCUUAAACAUGAAGACACUUUCAAAUGAUGAUUUUUCUUACUGGGUAAAGGAUGCAAAACUAAACAACCUGGCUGGAAAAGUAAAUGCCAAAAACCUAAAAACGUGUCACCCUUGGUGACAAUUAAACCUCAAUAACCAAUGAAUUAAAUGUUCCAUUACAAAUGUGGACAAAACUUUGUCAAUAUUCUGCUAAUGUUUCUAUUAAAUAAGAAUUGCAAUUAAAAUCACACGUGAAAAAGUUUGUUCACGUCAUUAAAAAACUAACUGUGGCAUCCUCCUACCACUUCCUGUUGUCUUGUUUGUUGUUUCCUCCAGCAGUAACAUCCAGCUGCAGCUUUACUACAUUAAUUUUGAUCCGGCCGAAAACCCACCCCAUCCUGGCGCGAAAGCUUUUCAUCAAAAUUGCCGUGUUUACUUUUAGCAUAUUUAUUUUCGUGAUUUCAUUUUGCGCAUUUAUGUGGUCCAUGAGAAUCUGUAGCUUAUUUUGAACUCUUAUAUGAGUAA